Molecule: ribosomal RNA, 416 nt
Filed under: uncultured crenarchaeote
Lineage: Archaea; Thermoproteati; Thermoproteota
Description: partial 16S ribosomal RNA
Rfam family: Archaeal small subunit ribosomal RNA
Source: RNAcentral
CAUUGUAGCAAUACAAGGCAGACGGCUCAGUAACACGUAGUCAACCUACCCUAUGGACGGGGAUAACCUCGGGAAACUGAGUAUAAUSCCCGAUAGAACAUUAUGCCUGGAAYGGUUUAUGGUCCAAAUGAUUUAUCGCCGUAGGAUGGGACUGCGGCCUAUCAKUUUGUUGGUGAGGUAAUGGCCCACCAAGDCUAUUACAGGUACGGGCUCUGAGAGGAGARGCCCGGAGAUGGGUACUGAGACACGGACCCAGGCCCUAUGGGGCGCAGCAGGCGAGAAAMCUUUGCAAUGUGCGAAAGCACGACAAGGUUAAUCCGAGUGUUUYCUGCUAAAGGAAYCUUUUGUYAGUCCUAAAAACACUAUCGAAUAAGGGGUGGGCAAGUUCUGGUGUCAGCCGCCGCGGUAACACCAGC